Dermatophagoides farinae (American house dust mite) is the source of this 804-nucleotide non-coding RNA. The record is from RefSeq and is a predicted model, not a curated record. Lineage: Eukaryota; Metazoa; Arthropoda; Arachnida; Sarcoptiformes; Pyroglyphidae.
ACUGCCAUUAAUAAUAGUAAUAAUGUUAUGGAUGAAAAAUCAAAAUUGAAAACAAUUGUUGAUGAUAAACAUCAUCAUCGGCAAUCGAAAAACCAAAUGAUGGUGGAUCAUCAAUCCGAUAUGAAUAAUGUUAUUGAUGAUACCGAUAAUCAGCAGCAAAAGCAUCAUCCAGCUUCGAAUGAAUGUAAUAAUUUUGAAAGUUUUAAAAAGAAUGCUGUACAUGUAAAUGAUUUGGAAAAUCAUUGGCAUCAAGAAGUGGUUUCGACUUCUUCGGUUUCAGAAAUGAAAAAACAACAUGCCAAUGUGCAGCAGCAACAUGAUUUGAUGAGUCCGAAUCCCAAUCGAUCCAUGAUGCAUCAUCAUGUUGUUCCAAAGAAUGAAGCAAUCAUUGUGAAUAAAACAUUUCAUCAUCAUCAUCAUCAUCGCCCAAGUCCAACAAUAAACAAUCAAAACAGCAACAAAUGUGUUUCAUAAGCUGUCUAAGAAAAUAUCGUAAUGUUUGUCUACAGGACACUGCCGAGCUUAGCAUUAAUAAUUAUGCAAAUCUUGUUAAUUUUAUCUAUACACAUUGGAUUAAUCAAAAAGUUUGUCAAGAAUAAUUGUUGAUUGAUAAUUUUUUUCGAUUGAUUGAUCCUGAUGAUGAUGAUGAUGAUGACAUUCACUCAAUUUCUUCUUUUUUUCCCGAAAUAAUAUGUGUUAUUAUUGUGCUUUGUUUAUUUUUCAAAACUAUAAUCAUCGUCGUUUCGUUUCGUUUCGUUUUUUCUUGUCCCUUAUUCCCACCAUUUAUUUUUCCCUUGUGUGUGU